Molecule: unclassified non-coding RNA, 253 nt
Filed under: uncultured Planctomycetota bacterium
Lineage: Bacteria; Pseudomonadati; Planctomycetota
Description: uncultured planctomycete contains 16S-23S intergenic spacer region
Rfam family: Bacterial small subunit ribosomal RNA
Source: RNAcentral
UACGAAGGUGGCAAGCGUUAUUCGGAAUCACUGGGCAUAAAGGGCCUGCAGGCGGUUUGUAAAGUUAACAGUGAAAGCCCUCGGCUUAACUGAGGAAUUGCUGUUAAAACUGGCAAGCUAGAGUGUUGGAGGGGCGAGUGGAAUUCUUGGUGGAGCGGUGGAAUGCGUAGAUAUCAGGAGGAACGCCGGAGGCGAAAGCGACUCGCUGGACAACAACUGACGCUGAGGGGCGAAAGCUAGGGUAGCAAACGGG